UUCUCAUGGGCGCAGCCUGAGCAGCCUGCCGCGUGUAUGAAGAAGGCCUUCGGGUUGUAAAGUACUUUCAGUUGUGAGGAAGGGUGUGUAGUUAAUAGCUGCACAUCUUGACGUUAGCAACAGAAGAAGCACCGGCUAACUCCGUGCCAGCAGCCGCGGUAAUACGGAGGGUGCGAGCGUUAAUCGGAAUUACUGGGCGUAAAGCGCAUGCAGGUGGUUCAUUAAGUCAGAUGUGAAAGCCCGGGGCUCAACCUCGGAACUGCAUUUGAAACUGGUGAACUAGAGUACUGUAGAGGGGGGUAGAAUUUCAGGUGUAGGGGGGGGGUGCGUAGAGAUCUGAAGGAAUACCAGUGGCGAAGGCGGCCCCCUGGACAGAUACUGACACUCAGAUGCGAAA
This 397-nucleotide ribosomal RNA is filed under the name uncultured bacterium. RNAcentral describes it as "partial 16S ribosomal RNA". It matches the Rfam family "Bacterial small subunit ribosomal RNA", at positions 365 to 758 of the family's 1533-position model. The record is from RNAcentral.